UGGGAUGACGUCAAAUCAUCAUGCCCCUUAUGACCUGGGCUACACACGUGCUACAAUGGAUGGUACAACGAGUUGCGAGACCGCGAGGUCAAGCUAAUCUCUUAAAGCCAUUCUCAGUUCGGACUGUAGGCUGCAACUCGCCUACACGAAGUCGGAAUCGCUAGUAAUCGCGGAUCAGCACGCCGCGGUGAAUACGUUCCCGGGCCUUGUACACACCGCCCGUCACACCAUGAGAGUUUGUAACACCCGAAGCCGGUGGCGUAACCCUUUUAGGGAGCGAGCCGUCUAAGGUGGGACAAAUGAUUAGGGUGAAGUCGUAACAAGGUAGCCGUAGGAGAACCUGCGGCUGGAUCACCUCCUUUCU
Molecule: ribosomal RNA, 364 nt
Filed under: Lacticaseibacillus paracasei
Lineage: Bacteria; Bacillati; Bacillota; Bacilli; Lactobacillales; Lactobacillaceae
Description: bacterial SSU rRNA
Rfam family: Bacterial small subunit ribosomal RNA
Source: RNAcentral